RNAcentral lists this ribosomal RNA (90 nucleotides) under uncultured bacterium. RNAcentral describes it as "partial 16S ribosomal RNA". The record is from RNAcentral.
CCUUGUACACACCGCCCGUCACACCACGAAAGUCAGUUGCAACAGAAGCUGCUCUCUGAGCAACCAAGUUGUGAUUGGUGAUUGGGGGUG